UAAUACUAAUGAUAACGACCGCUCACAUUUUCACGGCGCUUUCUAAGGCCGGCCGUCGUGCGAAGCGCUUCGCAACAACGAGAAGUUCACGAGGAGCCCACGCAGGGCGGAGGGGGAGAGGGGGCGCUGUCAUUGGCCCGUAUUUACAGAGGAGGAAACUGAGGCAGGCAGACAAAGCCCGGGGGCGCGAGGCGGGAUCUGAACCCGCAUUUCCUGGCUUCUGUCCCAGGUGGCUCUGCUAAGGAGGACGUGCAGAGUCCGGGGUCACCUCAGUGGUCAGGGACGGAGCUAGCCCCGGACUCCCCAGUCCGCCGACUCCCCCACGAACCUCACGGGCUCUUCCGCGAGCUGCCUGGCUUCCCAGGGCGGGCCUGGGGCCUGGAAACCUGCCCGGGGUCAGGGGUCAAGGCCAUGGCCGAUUAAGCCUCCUAGGACCUGCCUAGGAUGUGGUUCCGGGGCUCAGGAGACGGACGGAUGGGUGGGGAACGAGGAGCUCCUAGUCUGGGUCUGGGGGCUGCUGGGAGCAGGCUGGGGGUCGUGGAGUGAAGGGUGAAAUGGCUGCAGGAGGGGGCUGCCAGGCACGGACCUUGGGCGUCUGGCCAGAGACAGGCCGGGACUGAGGUGCUCACCAAGGUAUUUUUAGAGCCUGAAAUCCUAGCUCUGAAACCUGGCUCCCCAAGGGGGCCAUACAGCCUCCAGCCAGCCUCGUGACCUGGACCCUGCCUCCCCUCCCCCCCCCCCCACACUGUCCCCAAGGGAGAACCAGAUUUCAUCGUCCAGUGGGCUCGAGUCCUGGGAGGGAACCUGAGGGCAGGCCCACCAGGUCACCUAGCAAACAAGGGGCCACGCGGCCUCUGGCCGACCUGUCCCAGACACUGGGCCUUGGACACUGUCCCCAAGGGAGAGCCGGAUUUCAUCGUCCAGUGGGCUCGAGUCCUGGGAGGGAACCUGAGGGCAGGCCCAUCAAGUCCCCUAGCAAACAAGGCAGCCUCCACUAGGGAGUUUGGGUGUUUUAUUUUUGUUUUUAAGAAAAUGAAUGUUUCCUUCUCAAACACCAUUGAGGACAAGAUGGUACUUUUUAAAAAAUGCCUUAAAAUGAAUGGACUGAGAUGAUGAUUGUGAGACAAAGUCCUCAUCUGUAACAGCGACAUCAUGUGCCCAAAGUGUGCAUCAAGGGAAGGGAAUGGGUGUUGGUGCCCUGUAGGGCAGCCGCCAUCAUCACCCCAUUUUACAGUUGAGGAGACUGAGGCUGAGAAAAGGUUGCGUGACCUGCUUCGAUCUGAAUUUGAGUGUUCCAGACACCAGGCCCUAACGCCUGCCCCAGCAGGCCCUAACGCCUGCCCCACCAGGCCACACAUUUUUGAGAAAAGCUGUUUUUGAAAAAGGAAAGUUGACGUGUUUUUUUCUCUUUUUCUCCUCAGGAAUACCUGGACCUCACUUUGUCAAGCUUCCCCUCCUAUCAAGUACCCUGAUAUCCACAACGACUCUGGUUCUCAUUAGCUCAGUAUAGUGGAAGCGAGAAGGUCCGAUUUCCGAUUCCUGUUGAUUUUCUCCAUGUUUGGGGGCAGACCUGAGGUGGAGGUUUGUGGGAAGGCCUGGGGAAGGAGUUCACCUUACCAAGGAGGGGCCUGAGACAUUUUAAGUCUCUCAGCCCCGACGUAACCCGAGGUCUCUCUAAGUGCGCCUGAUCAGCACUUGGGGGUUAGGGGAGCUGUGAGCCUGUGGUGUUUUCUGGAGGUGCUGGAGCCGGUCCGGAGGAGCUCGGAGGCCAAAUCCAUUGAGAAAUGUUCAGAGAAGUGGAUCAAUUUACAGCUCAGCUUAUGAUUACAGAGGAAAAAAGCAUUUCAUCAAUUAAACAGGAAAAUUUCAAAUGAGCUGCAUCUUGUAUCCCUGGUCUCUUUGCUGAGAGAUAAAGCUUCAUGGUGUCCCACACGGGGCCAUUUACCAUCGAAGCUGGUGAAAUCCCAGUGGUUCUGCAGAGAAGCAUCCCCUACUGAGUCAGCGGCUUUGAUGUCAACUCCAGGCGAUGUUUCUUCAGGGGAUGGGAUAGAAGAAACAUUUUGUGACUCCAAUAAAAUGAGGAGUUUUAGGAUCACAGCUCAAGUCCAAAAGUUUAAAGCAGGCUCGGUAAAUAGCACCGAAGCUGGCUAUUCUUGAGAACUGUUUUAUGUGCUUGUGGAUAAAGACUCUCUGAGUCAUUUUGAAAUCUUCAGGAAGACUCUUAGAGUUUGGGUCCUACUGGGAAGAGGAUCAGAGACAGCCUUGCUCUAAGGAGAAGGUGAUUGUAUUGGAAAACAUUAAGUGACAGGUCUGUGUUCUUUUCUCAAAAAUAAACCUAGAUGUUUUUAAGAGCCGAAACGUUAGGAACGCCUUGUGGAUCUUGAAGGAAUUUUUUUUUUUUUAAUUUGAAAAAAGUGAGCAAGGGAAAUGCUAAUGAAAAAGGCCAGCCCAGUAGUCUGUCAGCACCAUUGAAGGGAUAGAUUUGGGCGAAGGGGAGGCAGGGAAGAAGAAGAACCCAAGGAGGAAAGAAACUGAGAAUCCAGUUCUGUUGCAUCUGAUUCAAUUCAGUUCAACAAGCUUUAUUUGGGCAAGGCUCUGUUCUAGGUACCAAAGAGACGAAAAUGAGUUCCUGUAAUUUGAGGAAGGGGAGAGGACAAUUUGGGAGUUCAAUCAAUCAAUCAACAAACAUUAUCAAACUCUCAUUUGAACUCACUGACUGUAUGGUGGGUUGUUCUGGCUCUCACUCCUGCCUGUGCUAUUGGUUCAGGUUCAACUAUGGAAGGAACUGAAUUCUCUCCUGUCAAUGUCCAGUUAAUCAAAGACUUGUUACUUAGACUUAGCAGAGAAAGGCUAUUCACCAGGGAUGCUCUAGAAGUACUUAUCUUGGAUAGCCACAGCCCACCUCAUCAUCCAGAAACACUUCUCCGGUCAGCAGGGAAGGAUAUAAUGACUUAGUUGACACCUGCCAGGUCUAAAGGGCUCUAUCGCCCAUGUCCGUAACAUGUCAUUCCCACCAUUUCCAUAUUAGGAGAGGAGAAGCUUUGGCUCUUUGGAUCAAUCCAAUGACAAGGACAUUUCACUUAGCUCUCCAUGUUUUCCAAUAGAUUCCCUAGAGAGAGUCCACCGAAUGUGCUAGGAACCUUAUUCGAAUGCAUGAACUCCAAUGGAGCGAAUGGACUGUCCAUCCUUUUUCUCUAGUUCUUGCUAAGAAACUGGCUUUUUUUUCAGCCAUAUUUUUCUCUGAUGUCUUUUGUGCCUCUUCUGAAAAUCCCCACUUGUAACCUGUUACAGCCAAGUAAUGCCAGAUGGGCAUUUCCUCAUUGCUUUUUGGAGGUCACUUUUUGAAUUUCUUGAGUGAGUGACCAGGCUUUGGGGACUGAAGUACCUUCCAUGACUUAAGACAUUUCAAUUCUGCUGUUGGCUUCGGAAGGAGAAGGAUCAGGAUGAGAGGAAAGGAGGGCCCUUUGCUUGAGCUUGGUGAGCUUGGAGAAGAUCCACUGGUCAAGAGCCAUCUAUGUGGGAGAUUCAUGGGAAUUUUAUAAGCAAAGCCAUCCUGUCUAAAGAUGUUAGGACACAGAGAAGCCAUCUAGUUGAGUAAAACUCUCCUUUCUACCACCAAGGACAAAGUCUCUGUCUCAGUAUCUAACUUAGGGUUAGAAAGUACUUGUUUAUAGCUUUUGCUUCUUUCCCUAGUGGAGAUCCCUUGUGCUCAAACCCAAUUCAAGAGGUUCUGUAUAAACGGGAUCAACCAAAGAGAAGCUGGUUUUGCUUCAGCCCAUUUUUAUCUCCAGCUCCAUUUCCAUCGUUGGAGUCCUGGUAAAUAUUGCCAGUGCUCUCUGUUCUCCUGUAGCAACAGAAGAUUUUGAUUGAUCACUUUUCCUUUGGACUAAAAUUUAAUUACCAUAUUAAAAGCAUCAGAAAGAAAAAAAUCCAAACAGUAUUUAAGUAAUAGUUUUAAUAAUAGUUCAAUAAUUCAUAAAUUAGGUUCCCCUAGUAACAGAAGUCUUCCAGAAAAGAUGUAUGGGACUAAAUACUUAGCAUAGUAUUAGCAUAUUAGCUUAAUGAUAAUAUGAAGCUCAUUAUUCAAAGCAAAAUUAUUCCCUCUUAUUCCAAAUGCAAACUUGUAGACUUUUGCUUAUUUUUUCUGUUUAUUUAUUCAUUCAAAUAAACACUUAUCAUG
Antechinus flavipes (yellow-footed antechinus) is the source of this 4180-nucleotide long non-coding RNA. RefSeq lists it as uncharacterized. The transcript is spliced from 5 exons. NCBI's taxonomy places the organism in Eukaryota, Metazoa, Chordata, Mammalia, Dasyuromorphia, Dasyuridae. The record is from RefSeq and is a predicted model, not a curated record.